CAGUAGCCACGGUAAUACAGAGGGUGCGAGCGUUAAUCGGAUUUACUGGGCGUAAAGCGUGCGUAGGCGGCUUCUUAAGUCGGAUGUGAAAUCCCUGAGCUUAAAUUAGGAAUUGCAUUCGAUACUGGGAAGCUAGAGUAUGGGAGAGGAUGGUAGAAUUCCAGGUGUAGCGGUGAAAUGCGUAGAGAUCUGGAGGAAUACCGAUGGCGAAGGCAGCCAUCUGGCCUAAUACUGACGCUGAGGUACGAAAGCAUGGGGAGCAAACAGGAUUAGAUACCCGCGUAGUCCCUGUCUCUUAUAC
Molecule: ribosomal RNA, 301 nt
Filed under: uncultured bacterium
Lineage: Bacteria
Description: partial 16S ribosomal RNA
Rfam family: Bacterial small subunit ribosomal RNA
Source: RNAcentral